RNAcentral lists this transfer RNA (53 nucleotides) under Caenorhabditis nouraguensis. RNAcentral's name for it is "tRNA-Ser". Lineage: Eukaryota; Metazoa; Nematoda; Chromadorea; Rhabditida; Rhabditidae. The record is from RNAcentral.
GAACUAUUUUUAAACAUGUUUUGAAAACAUGUUUUGAGGUAACUCGUAGUUUU